ACAUGCAAGUCGNAUGAAUAACGAUGGCGGACGAGAGAGUAACGGGUAGGAAUCUACCUAAUAGUGGGGGACAACUCGAGGAAACUCGAGCUAAUACCGCAUACGUUCCUACGGCGGAAAGCGGGGGACCUUCGGACCUCACGCUAUUAGAGGAGCCUGCGUUAGAUUAGCUAGUUGGUGAGGUAAAGGCUCACCAAGGGUACGAUCGUAUAACUGGUCUGAGGGGACGAUCAGCCACACUGGAACUGAGACACGGUCCAGACUCCUACGGGAGGCAGCAGUAGGGAAUCUUGGGCAAUGGGCGAAAGCCUGACCCAGCGAUGCCGCGUGUGCGAAGAAGGCCUUAGGGUUGUAAAGCACUUUCAGUUGCGAAG
RNAcentral lists this ribosomal RNA (374 nucleotides) under uncultured bacterium NIC027. Its description in RNAcentral is "bacterial SSU rRNA". It matches the Rfam family "Bacterial small subunit ribosomal RNA", at positions 53 to 447 of the family's 1533-position model. The record is from RNAcentral. Lineage: Bacteria; Pseudomonadati; Pseudomonadota; Gammaproteobacteria.